CUAGUAAUGGUCAUGCCCCCUUUAUUAUACGUUUCUUAUUCUCCAACAUGCAACCAACUAUUCUGCAUAUUCUCCACCCCCGUGUCAGGUGAUCUUCCUGGUCACUUGCCAUGUGUUUUUUUUUUUUCUCCCUGCACGUCAUUAGUGCGGGCUCCCACAUGAUGAGAGCAGGGCUUACCUGUCCCUCCCCUCUCCCCACUUGGAGGCAACGCCCCCUUUUCCACACUGACCCAUAGCAACGCAGGCUCCUUUACAGACCCCUCCCACCUUACUCCUCCCCCUCUCCUAUUUAAAAGCCAAGCAGCCCCACAAUGUCAGACAUUGCUGGAUGGCUGCAGCAGCUGUACACACUCUACACUGCUUGUGUUUUCUUCCCAUCUUCCGAUCCCUCUACUGACCUCUCUGGCCACUUUUUGUCAUUACAGGUAAAAAUAUAUAUAUAUACAAUCAAUAAACUUUUACGCUGUGACACUUCGGGCCAAAGGUCUUGCUACGCUGUGAUUGAUAUUAGAUGCCAGUCCUCACUCCUCUCCUUACCAUCUGAGGCUUGCCAUGCGUCCCGAUUGCGAUGUCCUUUUAAGGGGUGUGCUGAGCCGUUGAAACUUCUCGGGUGAAAAGUUGUCUGUUACACUUUCUGACUCCACACAUACUUC
Rana temporaria (common frog) is the source of this 653-nucleotide long non-coding RNA. RefSeq lists it as uncharacterized. Lineage: Eukaryota; Metazoa; Chordata; Amphibia; Anura; Ranidae. The transcript has 4 exons. The record is from RefSeq and is a predicted model, not a curated record.